UACGUAGGGUGCAAGCGUUAUCCGGAAUUAUUGGGCGUAAAGAGCUCGUAGGCGGCUUGUCACGUCGGGUGUGAAAGCCCCGGGGCUUAACCCCGGGUCUGCAUUCGAUACGGGCUAGCUAGAGUGUGGUAGGGGAGAUCGAAUUCCUGGUGUAGCGGUGAAAUGCGCAGAUAUCAGGAGGAACACCGGUGGCGAAGGCGGAUCUCUGGGCCAUUACUGACGCUGAGGAGCGAAAGCGUGGGGAGCGAACAGG
RNAcentral lists this ribosomal RNA (253 nucleotides) under uncultured bacterium. Its description in RNAcentral is "partial 16S ribosomal RNA". It matches the Rfam family "Bacterial small subunit ribosomal RNA", at positions 524 to 776 of the family's 1533-position model. The record is from RNAcentral.